Molecule: transfer RNA, 29 nt
Filed under: Apodemus mystacinus (broad-toothed field mouse)
Lineage: Eukaryota; Metazoa; Chordata; Mammalia; Rodentia; Muridae
Description: partial tRNA-Thr
Source: RNAcentral
CAAAAAUGAAGAAAUCUCUUCUCAGGACA